This 387-nucleotide unclassified non-coding RNA is filed under the name soil metagenome. Its description in RNAcentral is "partial contains 5.8S ribosomal RNA, internal transcribed spacer 2, and large subunit ribosomal RNA". The stretch from base 1 to 120 matches the Rfam family "5.8S ribosomal RNA", at positions 35 to 154 of the family's 154-position model. The record is from RNAcentral.
GAUGAAGAACGUAGCGAAAUGCGAUAAGUAAUGUGAAUUGCAGAAUUCAGUGAAUCAUCGAAUCUUUGAACGCACCUUGCACCCUUUGGUAUUCCGAAGGGUAUGCUCGUUUGAGUGUCAUUGUACUCUCACACUUCUAAUUCCUUUCGGGAUUGGGAGCGGUGGACUUGGGUGUUGCUGCUUUAGUUGUGGCUCACCUCAAAUAAGUUAGUGCAACUCUUGGUUGGACAUAGUACGGCGUGAUAAGUGUCUUCGCCGGCGCCUCUGUAAGGAGGGUAGCCGAUCGGGAGCUCUGUGCUUCAAACCGUCUUCGGACAAUCUUUGACAACUUGACCUCAAAUCGAGUAGGACUACCCGCUGAACUUAAGCAUAUCAAUAAGCGGAGGA